AUUACAGACUGCCAUCCAAACAAAAAAAUUAGAUUCUUUUUUCUUUUAUUUACAAAAAUGCCACUAAUGUAAAAAGUCAACAACCACUCGUCUCUCCGGCAAGGUCUCCGGUCAACUCCGACAGGUCACCCCCGACCACCGGCGAGAUUUCCGAUUGACCUCCGAUGAUGAUUCUGACGACCACAAAAGUUACUACCGCCAGCAACAAAAGCUACUACCCCAAACUAUUAAAGCUACUACCACCAACAAGAAAAAAUACUACCGCCAACAACAAAAGCUACUACCCCCAACUAUUAAAGCUACUAUCACCAGUAAGAAAAGAUACUACCGCCAGUAACAAAAGCUACUACAGCCAACAACCAAAGCUACUACCCCCAAAUAUUAAAGCUACUACCACCAGCAAGAAAAGAUACUACCGUCAACAACAAAAACUACUACCGCCAACAACAAAAGCUAUUGCCGCAAAGUCGCAAACAACAAAAACUACUACCCUCAACUAUUAAAGCUACUACCACCAGCAAGAAAAGAUAUUACCGCCAGCAACAAAAACUAAUACCGCCAACAGCAAAAGCUAUUACCCCCAACUAUUAAAGCUACUACAGCCAGCAACAAAAGAUAUUAUCACCGACAACAAAAGCUACUACCCCUAACUAUAAAAGCCAUUACCGAUAACAAAAACUACUACCCAGCUACUACCGCUAGUAAACAAAAGCUAGUACUGAACAGAAUAAAAGCUAUUACUGAACAUAACAAAACCUACUACGAAACAGAGCUAAAACUAUUAACAAGCACGGUAUCAAAAACAAAACAAAACAAAAAAAACUUCUACCAAGCACCAAAACCUACGUACUCUCACCUCCACCAAAACCUACUACCAAACACAAUAACAACUACUCUGACCUCCGCUGAAACCUACUCUCACCUCCACCCAAAUCUACUACCAAACACAAACAAAAACUACUCUCACCUCCACCAAAACCCACUCUCACCCUCCCCCAAAACCUACUACCAACCAUAGCAAAAACUACUCUCACCUCCACCGAAACCUACUCUCACCUCCACCGAAACCUACUCUCGCCUCCGACGACCUCCUCUCUAGCAACGUCUUCGUCGACCUCCGGCAAGAGUUUCCGGUGACUUCCUGCGACUUCCGGAGAACGUAGUGGCUGGCUUCGCUGUGGUCACCGAGAGCAGAUCGGAAAACGUAAAUCUCCAAUGAGGAAUUGAGAUGGUUACAAAAGAAACAAAGAGAGGAAAUCUAAGAGAAACUGGACGAAUCUGAAGCACGAGCUCCUUUGAGAUCAGAAAAAACAGGAUUCUCAGCACCAAUAAUCAAGAGCACCGUCCGUCGCCUUGCAUCGGAGUCGAGGUGUUGGCGCGGUUUCUGGAGUCGAGGCGACGGCUCGCUGAGCUAUGAUCGCCGGAUCGGAGUCGAGACGUCGGCAUGCUGAGCUAUGAUUACCGGAUCGGAGUCGAGGUGUCGCCGCGGUCUAACUCCUCUGAAAUCUCCUCAGAAAACGCGCGCAAAUCUCGAGUGAGAGAGUCGACGGGAGAGGUGCGACAGAGCUCCGACGACGUUGAAUCGGCGAGGGGUNNNNNNNNNNNNNNNNNNNNAGAUUUUUUUUUUUUGAAAAUAGAGAGAAACUGAUUUGGAAAGGGAGGGUGAAAGACAGGAGGUAUUUUAGGUACAUCAAUAAAAACAAAAAGACAAAUUUAUAUUUGAAAAUGGACUUGUAUGAGUAAAAAUAUUAAGAUGGACUUGCAUGAAAGAAAAUGUUAAGAAGAUGACUUAUAUGAAAUUUUCUAUAUAAGUUUUCAAUCAUAAUCAUGAAAUUUGUUUCGUUCUUGAAGUUAAACUCAAGUCAUCAACAAAUCAACCGUACGACUACUACAAUCUAG
RNAcentral lists this long non-coding RNA (1899 nucleotides) under Fragaria vesca (wild strawberry). RNAcentral describes it as "long non-coding RNA (FVES_LNC000164)". Lineage: Eukaryota; Viridiplantae; Streptophyta; Magnoliopsida; Rosales; Rosaceae. The record is from RNAcentral.